GAUGAACGCUGGCGGCGUGCCUAAUACAUGCAAGUCGAGCGAACGGACGAGAAGCUUGCUUCUCUGAUGUUAGCGGCGGACGGGUGAGUAACACGUGGAUAACCUACCUAUAAGACUGGGAUAACUUCGGGAAACCGGAGCUAAUACCGUAUGAUAUUUUGAACCGCAUGGUUCAAAGGUGAAAGACGGUCUUGCUGUCACUUAUAGAUGGAUCCGCGCUGCAUUAGCUAGUUGGUAAGGUAACGGCUUACCAAGGCAACGAUGCAUAGCCGACCUGAGAGGGUGAUCGGCCACACUGGAACUGAGACACGGUCCAGACUCCUACGGGAGGCAGCAGUAGGGAAUCUUCCACAAUGGGCGAAAGCCUGACGGAGCAACGCCGCGUGAGUGAUGAAGGUCUUCGGAUCGUAAAACUCUGUUAUUAGGGAAGAACAUAUGUGUAAGUAACUGUGCACAUCUUGACGGUACCUAAUCAGAAAGCCACGGCUAACUACGUG
Molecule: ribosomal RNA, 497 nt
Filed under: uncultured bacterium
Lineage: Bacteria
Description: partial 16S ribosomal RNA
Rfam family: Bacterial small subunit ribosomal RNA
Source: RNAcentral